This 253-nucleotide ribosomal RNA is filed under the name uncultured bacterium. RNAcentral describes it as "partial 16S ribosomal RNA". It matches the Rfam family "Bacterial small subunit ribosomal RNA", at positions 524 to 776 of the family's 1533-position model. The record is from RNAcentral.
GACGAACCGUGCGAACGUUGUUCGGAAUCACUGGGUUUAAAGGGCGCGUAGGCGGGCUGUCAAGUCGGUGGUGAAAUCGUUCCGCUCAACGGGACAAUGGCCUUCGAUACUGGCGGUCUGGAGGGAGGUAGGGGCAUGCGGAACUUCCGGUGGAGCGGUGAAAUGCGUAGAUAUCGGAAGGAACACCGAUGGCGAAAGCAGCGUGCUGGACCUUUCUGACGCUGAGGUCGCGAAAGCCAGGGGAGCAAACGGG